Cynoglossus semilaevis (tongue sole) is the source of this 1128-nucleotide long non-coding RNA. RefSeq lists it as uncharacterized. Lineage: Eukaryota; Metazoa; Chordata; Actinopteri; Pleuronectiformes; Cynoglossidae. The transcript is spliced from 2 exons. The record is from RefSeq and is a predicted model, not a curated record.
AUUGGUUUGUAUCCUGACCAGAACCGUUUCACCUCACCAAUCAGGGUCUUGUUUUCUAAUUACAGACACUUCAAGUCAGCCAUUGAAUUGACUUUAAUUCUCUAAAGAAGAAGAAGAAGAAGAAGAAGAAGAAGGAAAACAACCUCGAUCUACGAGGCCACAUCAGAAACCAUUUCCCGCCCAAGAAAUAUAUGCAAAAACGUUGCAAAAUACACUAUUUUUCUUUCUCUUUCUCUCUCUUUUUUUCCCCUCCCCAAAACGAAUUAGAGCUUGGACGUGUAAUUCAAUUAAGGACGAAAAGCGGGAAGCGGGAAGCGAGAAGCGGGAAGUUUCGACAGUGGUCGUUAAAACACGGCCAAUAGAAGUUUUUUUUUCCAGGUUUAUAUAAUGCGGACUUUAAAAAAAAAAAACCAAUGAACAUUUCAAUUAAUAUUACUUGACAGAUUAUUUCUGUGUUCCGCCCCUGGUGCCACAGCGUUUGCUGUUGUUUACCGCAGAGCAGCGGGCCCGUGCCUCCGUGCCUGUGCGCGCGCGCGGCCUGUUAUCGUUCUAAUCGCCGUGUCAUCUUCAUUAGUAAAGUCAUUAUGAAGCGCUAAUGAGCGCUUUAAAGGUACAAUCCUCGAAGAAUCCAACACUUUCUCUCUUUUCGUGCUGUCGCUCCCUUGAUGAAGAUUCAUGAUGAUGCAGAUCAUAAAUUGAAGAGAGGAGGGAAACAAGAACGCACGGAGGUACGUACGGAGUAGUAGGUGUAAGGCGGGAAGCAGGAGGGGCCAGGAGCAGGAGCAGAAACAGGAGAAGGAGCCGCAGCCGUGCUACUGAUGCCGACUCUCUGCGGGAUGAUUUUGUCUCAAAGAAAACGUGUGCGUUUGGAAGCGUGUUUGUGCGUGCGUGCGUGCGGGUGCAUCGGCCGAAUCCAGGCAGAGUUUAACCACAGGGCGGCGGCAAAGACGGCCUGCAGGAGGAGGAAAGAGAGGCCUCGGCUGUUUCCUCCUCCUCCUCCUCCUCCUCACAUCACAUCGCAUUCGACUGAUAAAGCUCAAGUUCACGCCGCAAAUACACGCGAGUUACCGGUGAGAUUUUAAUCACGCUGUGUGUGUGUGUGUGUGUAGAAAUACACAGUCACGGGAG